This 773-nucleotide ribosomal RNA is filed under the name uncultured Neocallimastigales. Its description in RNAcentral is "partial large subunit ribosomal RNA". It matches the Rfam family "Eukaryotic large subunit ribosomal RNA", at positions 24 to 632 of the family's 3401-position model. Lineage: Eukaryota; Fungi; Neocallimastigomycota; Neocallimastigomycetes; Neocallimastigales. The record is from RNAcentral.
UACGACUACAUAUCAGGCAUAUCAAUAAGCGGAGGAAAAGAAACUAACAAGGAUUCCCUUAGUAACGGCGAGUGAAGCGGGAAGAGCUCAAAUUUGAAAUCUUCAAGGUUCUACCUUGACGAAUUGUAGUUUAAAGAAGUGUUUUCUGUUAGAGGAGUAGCAAAAGUUCCUUGGAAUGGGACAUCAUAGAGGGUGAGAAUCCCGUAUUUGGUUAUUCUUUCUAGCUUUGUGAUACACUUUCAAAGAGUCGGAUUGUUUGGGAAUGCAGUCCAAAAUGGGUGGUAAAUUUCAUCUAAAGCUAAAUAUUGGCGAGAGACCGAUAGCGAACAAGUACCGUGAGGGAAAGAUGAAAAGAACUUUGAAAAGAGAGUUAAACAGUACGUGAAAUUGUCAAAAGGGAAGCGUUUGACACCAGUGUUGUUUUUCGAAAAUCAAUUCAAGAAGGUUUUGAUUCUUGUAGUAUUGACUUCAUCAGCUUGCUGCUUUCUUCUCAGAAAUUAUUGAAUGCACUUUUCAGUUAACAAGUCAACAUCAAUUUCUUUUGUUGUAAAAGGGUAAGAGGAAGGUGGCUUGCGCUUCGGCUCAAGUGUUUAUAGCCUUUUAUCUCUGCAAUCGGAGAGAUUGAGGUCUGCAGCGUAGAUCCUUCGGGGUUAGAUACAUUGGUGCUAAGCUAUAGCCUUGUAUAGACAACUUGUUGACUAUGCUCAGUCUUGUAGCUUACUCGCUUAUGCUAUUUUACCUACGCUUAGGAUGUUGAUCUACAGAGCGAGAGU